AAGCGGUGGAGCAUGUGGUUUAAUUCGAUGCAACGCGAAGUAACCUUACCUGGUCUUGACAUCCACGGAAGUUUUCAGAGAUGAGAAUGUGCCUUCGGGAACCGUGAGACAGGUGCUGCAUGGCUGUCGUCAGCUCGUGUUGUGAAAUGUUGGGUUAAGUCCCGCAACGAGCGCAACCCUUAUCCUUUGUUGCCAGCGGUCCGGCCGGGAACUCAAAGGAGACUGCCAGUGAUAAACUGGAGGAAGGUGGGGAUGACGUCAAGUCAUCAUGGCCCUUACGACCAGGGCUACACACGUGCUACAAUGGCGCAUACAAAGAGAAGCGACCUCGCGAGAGCAAGCGGACCUCAUAAAGUGCGUCGUAGUCCGGAUUGGAGUCUGCAACUCGACUCCAUGAAGUCGGAAUCGCUAGUAAUCGUGGAUCAGAAUGCCACGGUGAAUACGUUCCCGGGUCUU
RNAcentral lists this ribosomal RNA (456 nucleotides) under uncultured Enterobacteriaceae bacterium. RNAcentral's name for it is "bacterial SSU rRNA". It matches the Rfam family "Bacterial small subunit ribosomal RNA", at positions 927 to 1382 of the family's 1533-position model. The record is from RNAcentral. Lineage: Bacteria; Pseudomonadati; Pseudomonadota; Gammaproteobacteria; Enterobacterales; Enterobacteriaceae.